UGCCUACGGGACGCAGCAGUGAGGAAUAUUGGUCAAUGGGCGCGAGCCUGAACCAGCCAAGUCGCGUGAGGGAUGACGGUCCUACGGAUUGUAAACCUCUUUUGCCGGGGAGCAAGCGUGCGUUCGUGAACGCACGUCGAGAGUACCCGGAGAAAAAGCAUCGGCUAACUCCGUGCCAGCAGCCGCGGUAAUACGGAGGAUGCGAGCGUUAUCCGGAUUUAUUGGGUUUAAAGGGUGCGUAGGCGGAAUAUCAAGUCAGCGGUAAAAAUUCGGGGCUCAACCCCGUCGUGCCGUUGAAACUGAUG
This 305-nucleotide ribosomal RNA is filed under the name uncultured bacterium. Its description in RNAcentral is "bacterial SSU rRNA". It matches the Rfam family "Bacterial small subunit ribosomal RNA", at positions 335 to 638 of the family's 1533-position model. The record is from RNAcentral.